RNAcentral lists this ribosomal RNA (900 nucleotides) under uncultured Gammaproteobacteria bacterium. RNAcentral describes it as "bacterial SSU rRNA". It matches the Rfam family "Bacterial small subunit ribosomal RNA", at positions 1 to 903 of the family's 1533-position model. The record is from RNAcentral. Lineage: Bacteria; Pseudomonadati; Pseudomonadota; Gammaproteobacteria.
UUAGAGUUUGAUCAUGGCUCAGAUUGAACGCUGGCGGCAGGCCUAACACAUGCAAGUCGAGCGGUAGAGAGAAGCUUGCUUCUCUUGAGAGCGGCGGACGGGUGAGUAAUGCCUAGGAAUCUGCCUGGUAGUGGGGGAUAACGCCCGGAAACGGACGCUAAUACCGCAUACGUCCUACGGGAGAAAGCAGGGGACCUUCGGGCCUUGCGCUAUCAGAUGAGCCUAGGUCGGAUUAGCUAGUUGGUGGGGUAAUGGCUCACCAAGGCGACGAUCCGUAACUGGUCUGAGAGGAUGAUCAGUCACACUGGAACUGAGACACGGUCCAGACUCCUACGGGAGGCAGCAGUGGGGAAUAUUGGACAAUGGGCGAAACUGAUCCAGCCAUGCCGCGUGUGUGAAGAAGGUCUUCGGAUUGUAAAGCACUUUAAGUUGAGAGGAAGGGCAGUAAAUUAAUACUUUGCUGUUUUGACGUUACCGACAGAAUAAGCACCGGCUAACUCUGUGCCAGCAGCCGCGGUAAUACAGAGGGUGCAAGCGUUAAUCGGAAUUACUGGGCGUAAAGCGCGCGUAGGUGGUUCGUUAAGUUGGAUGUGAAAUCCCCGGGCUCAACCUGGGAACUGCAUUCAAAACUGACGAGCUAGAGUAUGGUAGAGGGUGGUGGAAUUUCCUGUGUAGCGGUGAAAUGCGUAGAUAUAGGAAGGAACACCAGUGGCGAAGGCGACCACCUGGACUGAUACUGACACUGAGGUGCGAAAGCGUGGGGAGCAAACAGGAUUAGAUACCCUGGUAGUCCACGCCGUAAACGAUGUCAACUAGCCGUUGGGAGCCUUGAGCUCUUAGUGGCGCAGCUAACGCAUUAAGUUGACCGCCUGGGGAGUACGGCCGCAAGGUUAAAACUCA